GACGAACGCUGGCGGCGUGCUUAACACAUGCAUGUCGAACGGAAAGGCCCUGCUUUUGUGGGGUGCUCGAGUGGCGAACGGGUGAGUAACACGUGAGUAACCUGCCCUUGACUUUGGGAUAACUUCAGGAAACUGGGGCUAAUACCGGAUAGGAGCUCCUGCUGCAUGGUGGGGGUUGGAAAGUUUCGGCGGUUGGGGAUGGACUCGCGGCUUAUCAGCUUGUUGGUGGGGUAGUGGCUUACCAAGGCUUUGACGGGUAGCCGGCCUGAGAGGGUGACCGGCCACAUUGGGACUGAGAUACGGCCCAGACUCCUACGGGAGGCAGCAGUGGGGAAUAUUGCACAAUGGGCGGAAGCCUGAUGCAGCAACGCCGCGUGCGGGAUGGCGGCCUUCGGGUUGUAAACCGCUUUCGCCUGUGACGAAGCGUGAGUGACGGUAAUGGGUAAAGAAGCACCGGCUAACUACGUG
RNAcentral lists this ribosomal RNA (468 nucleotides) under uncultured bacterium. Its description in RNAcentral is "partial 16S ribosomal RNA". It matches the Rfam family "Bacterial small subunit ribosomal RNA", at positions 28 to 507 of the family's 1533-position model. The record is from RNAcentral.